RNAcentral lists this ribosomal RNA (253 nucleotides) under uncultured bacterium. Its description in RNAcentral is "partial 16S ribosomal RNA". It matches the Rfam family "Bacterial small subunit ribosomal RNA", at positions 524 to 776 of the family's 1533-position model. The record is from RNAcentral.
UACGUAGGGUGCAAGCGUUAAUCGGAAUUACUGGGCGUAAAGCGUGCGCAGGCGGUUGUGUAAGACAGAUGUGAAAUCCCCGGGCUCAACCUGGGAACUGCAUUUGUGACUGCACAGCUGGAGUGCGGCAGAGGGGGAUGGAAUUCCGCGUGUAGCAGUGAAAUGCGUAGAUAUGCGGAGGAACACCGAUGGCGAAGGCAGCCUCCUGGGCCAACACUGACGCUCAUGCACGAAAGCGUGGGGAGCAAACAGG